CCCAAAGGGAACUGAGGCAUUUAUCCACCAGCCCCCAUCAGCCAUUGGCUGAGGGCUGCUCCAGGGCUGGGACCAGGACUCCUUACAUCUUGUACACUGGACACCUUACUCGCCCCACCCUAGUCCCAGGCCCAGCUGCUCCUUGGUGCCACUGACUCCCUGACACUCUGGCCUGCUGUACCUAUGGACACAGAGGACCCUUUCAACCAAAACCUCCCGCCAAAAUUCAAGUCUCAGCCACAUGCCCAGCCCUACACCAAUCACUAAGCCAGGGGCUGUGAUGCUCUCAUUGGCCAGGCCCCAGUCACAUGCCCAGGCUAUGCCAAUCACUGGCCCUGGCAGCUGUGACGCACUCAUGGGCGGGCCCGCGUCGUGGCGGGGAGAGGAGUCUCCAGACGGAAGUGGGGUGCUGUUCUGAGAGAAAGAAGCAGCUUGGUGCUGGAUGAGAACCCGUGAACACCGAGGCUUCCCUCUGCCUCUCUGCUGACUGGUCCCUUAGCUCUGGGACGACUGAGAAGAGAACCCUGUUGACCAGGAAGGGCAGCCUUGGGAACCUAGCAAAAUGGGAAGGUCCGGGAAAUAUGGUAGACCAGGCAAGGAAAGACCGAGACUGGAAUGAGGCAGGCGGCUGCGGCAGCCCCACCUAUGACCCUGAGCAACCCUGGAAGCUGCGCUGUCGACAGCCUGUCACAGCAAAUCACCUCAGGCCACUACAUCCCCAGAGAGCUGCCCACCGAACCAGCGUCAGCCCCCUCGGGGCCUCUCCCAGCGGCACUAACAGGCUGGCGCCAGGCUGCACAGGGCUGGUUCUGCCCAUGCCUCAGAGGAGAAAACCGAGGCUCAGACAAAGGAAGACGAAACAAGAAGAAAGCAGCCCACAGACAACUGGUCCUGGGGCUUCCUCGCCCUGUCUCACCGCUGCAAGAGGGAGCUUUGAGGAGCACAGCAGGGCAAAGCAGGCCUGAUUCCCUUGCCCUUGUUCUGGAGAGGAGACUGAAGUUCAGAGGGGCGAAGCGACGUGCCCAAGGUCACAGACGUGCCAAUAAGGAUGCAUGAGAGAGAAGGCUCCAUCUCCUUAGAGUGGCAACUAGCUGCUGCCAAGAAGCCUCCCCUCACAGCCCAGGCCAGAACCAGCCUCCCGCCAGGUAGCACAGCACCGGAAGCCCACCAUUCGAGAGCUGGCCCAUCGAGUUGAGCACUCAUCUUUUAUGCGUCACAUUCUCUUUGUUCAUUUAGCCUCACAGGACCCACAAAAAUCCAUGAACAGCAAAUAACAACUAUUUCCAUCUUUUAGCUUGUAUUCUGAUCCUUUUUAGUGCACAGACAUCCAUUCCUGCAUGUUUAUACGAGCAUAUGUGUCCUCUUCUGGAAUUUGUUUUCAUCAAACAAUAUUCCCAACAUGCAGGAAGGGACUUUGGAGAUUAUCUGGCCCUCUUUUCGAAGAGCAGUGUUGCCUAGUGGUUAGAAUGUGGGGUUUGGAGAUAGGCAGACAUAGAUUCAGAUCCCAGAUAUGCAAGCUGAGUGACCUUGGACAAAC
RNAcentral lists this long non-coding RNA (1537 nucleotides) under Equus caballus (horse). RNAcentral's name for it is "lncRNA (ENSECAG00000051204.1)". The record is from RNAcentral. Lineage: Eukaryota; Metazoa; Chordata; Mammalia; Perissodactyla; Equidae.